This is a non-coding RNA of Lactuca sativa (garden lettuce), 1879 nucleotides long. NCBI's taxonomy places the organism in Eukaryota, Viridiplantae, Streptophyta, Magnoliopsida, Asterales, Asteraceae. The record is from RefSeq and is a predicted model, not a curated record.
UGUAUUGGGUCUUUUUAUGUCGUUAUUUAUAUUGAUGGUGGGUUUCUUUUGCUUCCUCACCGCUUGCUUGAGUACGUGUCCGCUUCUGAUUCUCACUGCUUCUUUUAGUAGUGAUACGUGUUCUGUACACGUCUCCAAUGGUUCCUUCACCGGGUUAAUCUAUCAACAGAUUCCACUGCCUCUCCCUUCUUCCGUUUGCCUCUAGCCCUACAGCUCGCCUUCCCUACUGCUCACUUGAGCGCUGCUCACCGGCUUUCUUCUCUAACUACAAUAUUGAUCCCCUCUUCAUGUCGAUCGUCUCCACCACCUCAAUCCACAAGUUCUUCUGAUCAUUGUUCAAUUUUUCUCAUCCACAAGUUCUUCUGAUCAUUGUUCAAUUUUUCUCAUCCACAAGGUCUAACCACUUCAACCGAUUUCUCCCGAUCCGCAGUUAUGGCCAGUGGUCAUUGGCGCCGCCCUAGACGGAAACCACCUCAUCACACGGAAGAAUGAGGAAGCCCCCAAGUAGCAAUGGAGAGCGAAGACCGUCACAAGUGCUUCAUAUAGGACGUCAUCUUCCCAUCGAUCUGCAGCUAUCGCCAGGUACCAUCGUUCUCUCCAUCGGUUUUGUUAUUACAGGUUGAUGAAUUUAAAUAUUUUGAGCAUCCCUACCUGUGAAUCUUUUUUAGAAAAGUUUUUAUUCCCCUUGGAGAUCGGCGUGAAGGUAACAAUCUUGAUACUGUUCGUGGUUAUCUGUUUCUGGAACUGUAUAACACAAUUUCGUGUCUGGUGAGCCUACAAAGAUUGAUUUGGGUAAAGGUACACAGAUUAUGUUCGUUGCCAGAUUUCUUUCUAUCCAUUUUAUUAUUUGUUUAUAAUACAUAGACAAUGCAUGCCAAUUGUUUGUGAAAAUGCCCAACUGAAACGCAUAAGUCAUGUUAAUGGUUUUUAUUCGAAAUUGUUUCCAAUUAUACAAUAGCACUUUUUUUUUCUUCUAUCGUCCCAACAAAAAAAUAAAAUGAUUUGUGUUUCUUCCUUCAAUCUAAUACAUUAGUAGUAAUGAUGAAUUUGACUACUUUCUUAACUUUGUGAUGGGUGUGUAGAGCACAGGACCUGAGAUGCGAAACAUGGAAAUACAAUUUGCAUUAUGUAUUUCGUUUUGUUGGAUUUUUGUGGUGUUUCCAAAAUAUCAACUCAGAUUUUUGUUAAAAAUAUCAUCUUCCAAAUCUUAUUCAUCAUUUCAACUGGAGAAAGUUCCUGACUUGGAUGUCGGAAAUGCCCUUUUCUGGGAACCUCCUCUUAACAUAUUGUUUGAAUCAAGAAUUAGUGCAGGGCUAAAAGUUUGCGAAAUCUCCAUUCCUUCACAAUCGACUACAUGCACAACAACACCCCUGGAAUUUAAACCGGAUGAACUUUUUGGAUCGUCAUCAAUCGACAUCACUGAUUCCAUUCCGACGAGGUCAUUUCCAUGUAAAUGAUGAACCAACAACUUUCUAGAAAUGUCUCAAGUGGAUUCUAUGAUUAUAUCGGAGCAUCUGGAUGCCGUUCCUGAGAAUAAAUCUCCUACAUCUUCAGAGAGAUUAAGAAAACAAUAAAGAAAUUCCCUCAUAGCACACGAAAAAGAAAUAAAAGACAAAGUAACUUAGCUUAAGUUGUAAAUGCUACAAGUGUACAUCUUUGACUAACUUUGACGUUGAUCAUUUUGUUCUCUCACAGUGUACCCAUAAUUGCUUAUAAUUUCCGAAGUAGACCUUGAGAUGCGUAUGAAUGAAAUCCCCAUCAAAGAUUUAAUUAGGCUUGCAGAACAUAGGGAACAAAUAGCUGCAUGUUCUUAUUAUUUUAUUGAAUGUUAAUUCACUCUCAUUGGUCUUUAUUUAUUUUUAUUUUAUUAUUUACAUAG